RNAcentral lists this ribosomal RNA (123 nucleotides) under Sphenodon punctatus (tuatara). The record is from RNAcentral. Lineage: Eukaryota; Metazoa; Chordata; Lepidosauria; Sphenodontia; Sphenodontidae.
GCCUAUGGCCACACCAGACUGAACAAUCGUGAUCCUGUUUGAUCUCAGAAGCUAAACAGUCCCGGGCCCGGUUAGUAAGUACUUGGGUGGAAGACCGCCUGGGAAUCCUGAGUGCUGUAGGCU